GCCGGACUUGGCGGCGUGCUUACACAUGCAAGUCGAACGAUGAACCACUUCGGUGGGGAUUAGUGGCGAACGGGUGAGUAACACGUGGGCAAUCUGCCCUGCACUCUGGGACAAGCCCUGGAAACGGGGUCUAAUACCGGAUACUGAUCCUCGCAGGCAUCUGCGAGGUUCGAAAGCUCCGGCGGUGCAGGAUGAGCCCGCGGCCUAUCAGCUAGUUGGUGAGGUAACGGCUCACCAAGGCGACGACGGGUAGCCGGCCUGAGAGGGCGACCGGCCACACUGGGACUGAGACACGGCCCAGACUCCUACGGGAGGCAGCAGUGGGGAAUAUUGCACAAUGGGCGAAAGCCUGAUGCAGCGACGCCGCGUGAGGGAUGACGGCCUUCGGGUUGUAAACCUCUUUCAGCAGGGAAGAAGCGAAAGUGACGGUACCUGCAGAAGAAGCGCCGGCUAACUACGUGCCAGCAGCCGCGGUAAUACGUAGGGCGCAAGCGUUGUCCGGAAUUAUUGGGCGUAAAGAGCUCGUAGGCGGCUUGUCACGUCGGUUGUGAAAGCCCGGGGCUUAACCCCGGGUCUGCAGUCGAUACGGGCAGGCUAGAGUUCGGUAGGGGAGAUCGGAAUUCCUGGUGUAGCGGUGAAAUGCGCAGAUAUCAGGAGGAACACCGGUGGCGAAGGCGGAUCUCUGGGCCGAUACUGACGCUGAGGAGCGAAAGCGUGGGGAGCGAACAGGAUUAGAUACCCUGGUAGUCCACGCCGUAAACGGUGGGCACUAGGUGUGGGGCAACAUUCCACGUUGUCCGUGCCGCAGCUAACGCAUUAAGUGCCCCCGCCUGGGGGAGUACGGCCG
Molecule: ribosomal RNA, 847 nt
Filed under: Streptomyces rochei
Lineage: Bacteria; Bacillati; Actinomycetota; Actinomycetes; Kitasatosporales; Streptomycetaceae
Description: bacterial SSU rRNA
Rfam family: Bacterial small subunit ribosomal RNA
Source: RNAcentral